Molecule: ribosomal RNA, 254 nt
Filed under: uncultured bacterium
Lineage: Bacteria
Description: partial 16S ribosomal RNA
Rfam family: Bacterial small subunit ribosomal RNA
Source: RNAcentral
UACAGAGGGUGCAAGCGUUGUUCGGAAUUACUGGGCGUAAAGCGCGCGCAGGCGGAUCCUGCAAGUCAGAAGUGAAAUCUCACUGCUCAACGGUGAGGCUGCUUUUGAUACUGCGGAUCUGGAGACCGGUAGAGGCUGGUGGAAUUGCAGGUGUAGCGGUGGAAUGCGUAGAGAUCUGCAAGAAUACCCGUGGCGAAGGCGGCCAGCUGGGCCGGUAUUGACGCUGAGGCGCGAAAGCCAGGGGAGCAAACGGG